AACCAGUCACAUGUGUACUGUGGCAUAGUCAUUGCAGUCAGGACUCAGCAUGGACAUGAGGACUCCUGCUCAGUUUCUUGGGUUCUUGUUGCUCUGGUUUCCAGGAGCCAGAUGUGACAUCCAGAUGACCCAGUCUCCAUCCAUGUCUGCCUCUCUGGGAGAGAGAGUCAGUAUCACUUGCAAGUCAAGUCAGGAUAUUAGCAUUUAUUUAAACUGGUACCAGCAAAAACCAGGGAAAUCUCCUAAGCUCAUGAUCUAUGAUGCAACCAGCCGGGAAGAUGGGGUCCCAACAAGGUUCAGCGGCAGUGGAUCUGGGUCAGAUUUUUCUCUCACCAUCAGCAAUGUGGAGUCUGAAGAUAUGGGAAUCUAUUACUGUCUACAGUAUGAUGAAUACCCUCCCACAGUGAUACAAGUCAUAACAUAA
Apodemus sylvaticus (European woodmouse) is the source of this 424-nucleotide non-coding RNA. The record is from the annotation of a RefSeq genome assembly. Lineage: Eukaryota; Metazoa; Chordata; Mammalia; Rodentia; Muridae.